CGCAGGCGGCCUUUUAAGUCUGAUGUGAAAUCUUGCGGCUCAACCGCAAGCGGUCAUUGGAAACUGGAGGGCUUGAGUACAGAAGAGGAGAGUGGAAUUCCACGUGUAGCGGUGAAAUGCGUAGAUAUGUGGAGGAACACCAGUGGCGAAGGCGACUCUCUGGUCUGUAACUGACGCUGAGGCGCGAAAGCGUGGGGAGCAAACAGGAUUAGAUACCCUGGUAGUCCACGCCGUAAACGAUGAGUGCUAGGUGUUAGGGGUUUCGAUGCCCGUAGUGCCGAAGUUAACACAUUAAGCACUCCGCCUGGGGAGUACGGCCGCAAGGCUGAAACUCAAAGGAAUUGACGGGGGCCCGCACAAGCAGUGGAGCAUGUGGUUUAAUUCGAAGCAACGCGAAGAACCUUACCAGGUCUUGACAUCCUUUGACCACUCUGGAGACAGAGCUUCCCCUUCGGGGGCAAAGUGACAGGUGGUGCAUGGUUGUCGUCAGCUCGUGUCGUGAGAUGUUGGGUUAAGUCCCGCAACGAGCGCAACCCUUGACCUUAGUUGCCAGCAUUCAGUUGGGCACUCUAAGGUGACUGCCGGUGACAAACCGGAGGAAGGUGGGGAUGACGUCAAAUCAUCAUGCCCCUUAUGACCUGGGCUACACACGUGCUACAAUGGAUGGUACAAAGGGUUGCGAAGCCGCGAGGUGGAGCCAAUCCCAUAAAGCCAUUCUCAGUUCGGAUUGUAGGCUGCAACUCGCCUGCAUGAAGUUGGAAUUGCUAGUAAUCGCGGAUCAGCAUGCCGCGGUGAAUACGUUCCCGGGCCUUGUACACACCGCCCGUCACACCACGAGAGUUUGUAACACCGGAAGUCGGUGAUCUAACCGUCGGAACCAGCUAACCGACUAGAGUU
This 897-nucleotide ribosomal RNA is filed under the name Bacillus sp. 22F07-Zb4-10. RNAcentral describes it as "bacterial SSU rRNA". It matches the Rfam family "Bacterial small subunit ribosomal RNA", at positions 570 to 1464 of the family's 1533-position model. Lineage: Bacteria; Bacillati; Bacillota; Bacilli; Caryophanales; Bacillaceae. The record is from RNAcentral.